UACAGAGGGUGCGAGCGUUAAUCGGAAUUACUGGGCGUAAAGCGUGCGUAGACGGUUAUUUAAGUCGGGUGUGAAAGCCCCGGGCUCAACCUGGGAAUUGCAUUCGAGACUGAAUAGCUAGGGUACGGUAGAGGGAAGUGGAAUUCCUGGUAUAGCGGUGAAAUGCGCAGAUAUCAGGAGGAACACCGAUGGCGAAGGCAGGUCUCUGGGCCACUACUGACGCUGAGAAGCGAAAGCGUGGGGAGCAAACAGG
This 253-nucleotide ribosomal RNA is filed under the name uncultured bacterium. RNAcentral describes it as "partial 16S ribosomal RNA". It matches the Rfam family "Bacterial small subunit ribosomal RNA", at positions 524 to 776 of the family's 1533-position model. The record is from RNAcentral.